This is a long non-coding RNA of Equus caballus (horse), 11984 nucleotides long. RefSeq lists it as uncharacterized. The record is from RefSeq and is a predicted model, not a curated record. NCBI's taxonomy places the organism in Eukaryota, Metazoa, Chordata, Mammalia, Perissodactyla, Equidae.
UGUCCGCGCCCAGGAUUUGAACCCGUGAAACCCUGGGCCGCUGAAGCGGAGCACGCCAACUUAACUGCUCUGCCGCGGAGCUGGCCCCAUGAUCUUCAUUUUUGAUAGAUGAAAAGUGAAGCUCAGGAAGGCUGCGGGCGUCCCCUCGUUAGGCAGUGAUGUUGGCGCAUCUCACUCCAAAGCCUUCGAGCAGUUCUUGCUGAGUGCGCACUUGUGGCCAUUGCUGAAGAAGUUGCCUGCAUCUCUUGUGUUAGGACAGGGGACCGAGACACCUGUUUAUACCACACCUUGAGGACGAGAGGAUGGUAUGGCUUCCUGAGUUUGGUUCCUCAUCUGUAAAAUUGGGCUUGUGUUCGGACUCGCUUCCUACAGUCACAGUAGAAAAUCAGUUACCUAAAGCACGUAAGCAUGGGGCAGGGUGCUGUGGCAGCUCUGAGUAUCAUCUGUGAUAAAGGGCUUCACUUUCACAGAUAUUGAAUACCUUCACUAAGUCAGAAGAACUUUUCUCUACCCCUAGUAUAAUCUGGAGAACUUUUUGGAAUUUUGGGUUUGUUUGAUUUUUGCAUUGCAAAUAUCCCUCUCUUCCCCUUCCUAAAAAUUGAUGCUUUCAUUUUUUCUUGUUGUUAACUAGUAUUGCAGAUAUUUAAGUGGAGUAAAAUGCCUUGGGCUGAUGCAAAAAGAGUACACUCUGCUCUCGCGUCCAUGUCUGUGGGCAAUGGUAACUGACCCAGUGCUUGUGGGGAGCUCCCAUGCAUGGAGCCGGUAACCGACCUGUCUUUCCCUGGGGCCCCACCCUGACCUCUGUGCUAGCACUGUCAUUUGAUGCUUGUCUUGUCCCUUCCUGAAAACAGCAUUGACUCACUUCUCCAGCCUCCCCUAGCACCGGGCAGCAGCUCCUGUCUGAUUCCCAUCGCCUCCUCUGGAUGGAGGGCUCAUCCUCAUCUUGCCAGAUCAGCUGCAGGCUGGGUGUGCCUCAGCUCCCUCUGAGGAAAGUGGAGUUUCAAGCUCAGUAGCUGGGAGAGUGGGCGGAGGAAGGGAGGGUCCGUCCAGCCGAGAAAGGGCUGACCUGACAGUAGGGGGGUGUGUCCACUUUGGGGGAGGAGUGUUAGUGGAUUUGAAACAAAUUGAUUCCUGGCUAAACAUAUUCCCAGGCUGUCACAUCCUCUCACAACAAAAUUAAUUAAAAUGGUCUUGGAAUGAAAGUGGAUGAGGCUACUGUUGCUAUAACCCGCUUUUAUUAUGAAGCCCACCACUGGGGUUGGGGUGAAGCAGGUUUAAAAUCCUAGGCAUGCAGUCGACCCUUCAUCCAUACAGUCUCUCCUCCAGGAUCACCACAAGGCGGGUUGGGGUUCUCAGAAUUGUCUCCCCAAACCCUGAAGCAGGUUCAGAUCCCUCACCUUAACCCGGAGAGACAGAGAAACAAUUCCUGAGAAUCUGCUGAGAAACAGCUGCUCGAGGACCUGUGCUGAAUUUGCUCACCCUGGGUACGACCCAGCCAUCUCCCUGUCCUGAACACCCACCUCCUUGAUCAGGGCAGAACCAGAGUCGCUAGGAGGAUGGUGUGAGACGCCUCAUUUGUUCACAGAUACUCCUGGAUCCACCCCAUGUUCAAGGUUCUGCAACAGUGGGCCAGACAGACCACUGCUGCCCUCCCGGACUUUCCAGUCCAGUCACGACAACGGAAGGUAAAUAAGGAAUGCAUAAAUAACAAACAUUUAUUGAGCUCUUGCUGUGUGCUGUGCACUGUGCUAAGCACGUUUCAAAUAUUUCCUUUAUUUAAUCCUUAUAACAACGUGAUGGGGUAGCUACUAUUGUCCCCAUUUUACACAUGAGGAAACUGAGCCUCAGGGGGGUUACAUCGCUGGGCACAAGUGUGGUUAUGGCGGAGCCCCAGCUUGGAUGCAUGUAGUGUGAUUCAGUCUGCAGUCGUCACUCUGCUGCUGCCAAGAUGGAGGGUGACUGCUGGGUGCCCCGGGAGCAGACACGGGUGUGAAGGCACUCUGAGAACUGCGGUCCGUAUUCUGUUGGUUAGAAGUAAGUCAUGGGUCCCACCCAUGCUCAAGGGGAGGGGACUACACGAGGGUGUGAACACCACGAGGCCACCAUCACAGAGACCACCGGAGGGUCUGUCCACCACAGUCUCUAAUUCUAUCUGUGGGUCUUUUGUCCUUAUGGUUUGGUAUCAUGUCAGCAAUUUACAACUUAAAAAAAAAGUUAGGACACGAGCAGCAUUUCUUAGAUUUUUUCCUGACCCCCCCUGGAUUUCGAGCACCCGCCCUCCAGGGAAUUAAUACAGUCCUGGCUGUUUCCAUGGUUAAAUGGUCCUAGGAAUUUUAUGAAAGAGAAAUGGAGCCACAGGACCUUGAGGAGGAGGAAUCAGCAGAGAGAGAACAGAGAGUCCAGUGAAGAAUUCAGACAUUUAAUCAAAACUUUAAAAUUCGUCCAUUCAUUUCUUUCUUUCUUUAUUCAUUCAUUCCUGUGUUCACAUGUCCAGCACAUUUUGGUGAGUCUUUCUGUGUUUUGUGUCCAGUGCAGUUUUGGCCACUGACACAGACGUGGCCAUGUCCUUCCACCACAUCCAGGGCAGAGUUAACAGAGAGGAGAGGGUGGGACACCCUCUGCCUGGGACAUGUUGGGCGGCUUCACUCCUCGUGCGUAGGGGACCACCCUGGAGUUCACUGCAGGGACAGGCAGACAAAGGGAACAGUAUAGUUUUUAAAACAGAGUAAACACAAUUUACCUUUUCCUGCUGAGCCAGAAUAUCACUUUGAACAUUCGCGGCUGGGCUGUGUAGCGUGGAACAACCGCCUGAAGGCCCCAGGCUCAGAGCACAAGGCUUUUUAGUGUUGGCGAGUGUGUUUCAUAGCAUUUCCAUUUCUUCUAUUGUUCUCUGCCCCUCACUUGUCUCUGCUUGGUUUUCUCGGUGAAUUUCACUUCAUCAGACCUUUUCCUCCUGUCUGAGUUGCUGCUUGUAAAUUACUGUGGAGUCAGAAACCCCCAUCCCUAUAUCCAGGUUAGCAUUGUGUGUCAGGUGCGAGUUAAUAAGCGGAUCUCAAGGGCAAGCCAGCCCCCACCCCAGUAUCAGAAUAAGGAAGUGGGUGUCAUUUGAAAACAAAGCAUUACUUUGAUUCAUUGCUUUUGUUUAAUAUUAGUCAUUCAUUUACUUGAUUUUGAAUUUCAGCUAACUGUAACGUUAGGGUGACUCUGUUUAUUCAAGGAGAAUAUUGGUUAACAGAUGUGAGACUAACAGUACAUGAACACAGUAUUGGGGAUGUCCAUUUAAAAAGCAAAUUCGUCUGUUAUUUUACCCUCGAAAUGAGUUUAUUUGGGAAUAGCUGAAAGAAUUGCAAUUCUGGAUGUGCGUGCUGUGGGAAAUCAUAAGCAAAUCCAAAAAACAAAGGAGGGGAGCUGCUUUUAUAGAGAAAAAGGAGGAGCAGGGAGGCACUGUUCUCAAGAAAGUCCAUUGGGGCAAAGUAACAGUUCAGGGUGGCAACGGCUUCUCAUUGGCUGAGCUGCAGCAUUUCUCAUUGGCUGAGCUGCGGCGUUUCUCAUUGGCUGAGCUGCGGUGUUUCUCAUUGGCUGAGCUGUGGUGUUUCUCAUUGGCUGAGCUGUGGUGUUUCUCAUUGGCUGAGCUGCGGUGUUUCUCAUUGGCUGAGCUGUGGUGUUUCUCAUUGGCUGGGCCGUUCCCAGGUAGGGAGAGAAAUCUUGCAGUAGGAAAGUAGGAUUACUUUCUGUGAAAGAUGCAAGCAUCUGUCUCUUCCUGUUUGGGGUAAUUGUCGAUGUGUGAUAGGGUGUGAGGGCUCCCCCUGCAGGCCUUCUUGGCUCCAGUUUAGUUAAGGUUUCCUUCAUUAAUUUCUGCAGGGCUAACAAUACUUCUGAGGAAGGACAGGAACUUGGUCACAGGAGUUUGGGCUGCUCAGAGCCUCAUUCUUACUCCUCUCUCCCCCGGCCCCCCAAAUCCAUACCCUCCUCCUUCCCCUCCUGCUGCAGUUUAAGGAGUUAAUUGAUGACUCCAGGAGAGUGUUGGUUUCCUGUGGCUGCUUUAACAAAUUACCACAAACUGGGUGGCUUGAAACAACAGAAAUUUCUUCCCUCUGCGUUCUGGAGGCCGGCAGGGCUGCAGUCGCCCUUGAGACUCAGGGGAACGAUCCUCUCUGGCCUCUUCCAGGUGCUGGUGGCUGCCCUGGCAUUCCUGGGCUUGUGGCUGCAUCACUCCAGUCUCUGUCUUCCUGUCACCUUCUCUGUGUCUGUGUCUUCUGCCUCUUAAAUCUCCUUCUGCCUCAGUUUGUAAGGACACUUGUCAUUGGAUUUAUAGAGUCCACCCAGAUUAUCCAGGAUGAUCUCCUUAUCUCAGGAUCCUUAGUUAGUCACACCUGCAAAGACUUUUUUUUCCAAAUGUGGUCCCACUCACAGGUUCCAGGGACUUGACGUGGAUAUCUUUUGGUGGUCUGUUUGUCAGCCUACUAUGUGAGGGAUGCAGCUAAAGGGUUUAGAAAGUACCUGGUGUAUAACGGAGCCACUUGAUAUUGCUGCCACUGCCGCUGCUGUAUUCCUCACUCUUUUACUCAUUCACUGAGUGUCUGGGUAUCUGCCCUGGCCCCCCACCACACUGGGUGCCAAGGAUACAAAAGUGAAGUGAGGCAUGGCCAUGCCCUCGAGGGGGCACCAGCCGUGUUUCCAGAUGUCUGAGGUCUACUUUGAGCACAUGCACACAGUUGACUUACCUGGCUGAGUCUGUGCGCCUGCCCACCCUUCACGGUGUUGUUGCUUUGGGGCAUGGUAUUCCUAGUUCCAAGCACCCAAUGUACAAAUAAACUUAUGAAAAGUCCAAAUCACUAACUUACAAAUUAGAUGUGCUCAAAGGCAGUCUAAAGUGAAAGCAUAAUUCCUUAUGUUUAUAGUUUUUAAAACACUGCUGCCUCACCUGUGUUGUGCAUUGUCUUGUACAGAUGAUACACCUUUGGCUCAGCCAGAUCAUUAAGCUAGUGAAGCACGGGAACCUGGGUCCCUGAUUCUGAGCGUAGGCUGGCCAGCAGCCCUGCCUGUCUUCCUUCUCCCUGCAGUCCUUGCUCCUUCAACACACCUUCAUUAGUGUCUGCUGUGUCCUAUCUACUGUGCUAACCCCUGAGAGUGCAAACAGAAACUUGCCCUGAGCGUGUGCGGGGGGACACCAACAAUACACUAAUAGGGCAGUACUUGGGGUGCGCUGUGCUUCCCCAGGAGGGGAGUGCUGACCGAGGCAGAAGGAGGAGUAGGGUUUGGGAAAGCUGGCAGGGAGGGUGCUCAAGGCAGAGACUGGCCUCAUAGGGGCAGGAGAGCCAGCAUCCGAGUGAGGAGAAGGCCCUGGUCUGUGAUCUUGGGAAAUCUCCUCUUACGCUGCCACCCCCACCCAGCCUCCUUCAGUGAGCUGGUUUGUGGUCAGAAUUUAAAAAUUAGAGCUUCUUUUGGCUUAGCCAGGUAGCAAAUUUACUCUACACUCAGAUGCAGAGUCCCCUGAACGGGACGAGGCUCCUGCUCGGCCAGCCGCUUCACGUAGCAGGGUGUCUGGCGUUCUUCAAGGACAGGUUUUCUCAGUGAACCAGGGGUCAGGCAGGUCUGAGGAUGAUGAAUACUUGAGGUAUGGGUGGAGAGUGGCCAUCAGUAUGUGGGGACAGAAGCAGGGGGGACAGCACUUGGGGGUCCACAAACAUCCCUCCUUUAGAAUUUCUCUCACCAGCCUCGAGCUAUCUGACCAUAUUUGGACGCUGGGUCCUGGUGCUCUUCCUUGGAAACAGACUCGAGGCUUGAGCCUUCCCUUCGAAGAGCAGGAAGUAGGUUCCUCCAUUAAUUUACUGCCUGGUGCAGUGAAUUCGUAUCUGCUUGGCUUCUGACUCUCUUCCCUCCUGCAUCCCAGCUCACCAGUUAACCCCCAGAGCCGGCAGCCUUCACAGAGUGCCAGGACCCCAGACUGCGGCUCAGGGAGCUGUGGCAGCAAAGUGACUUCUCCAUCUGGCCCACUGGGAAUAUUGCUUUUGUUUGCCUUUGUUCCUGUAUGUUCUUAAGCUAAAGACACACACACACAAACUUUAGAUUAUUAUUUUGAAUAUUAUUUUAUCAACUUACCUAUUUUUCUUUACAUUUGACAGGGUAUACUAUAUUGUUAAAAUGUGAUGUUGUCAUGGCCAGACGUUGCAUUUCUAGUCUUGCUCUUGAUGUUAUUGGGGAAGUCGAUGCCCUGAGGAAUGUCAGAGCAUGCGAGUUGUCCUGUUGGGUCAGCCCUGUCUGCCCAGCUCCGCCCUGUCUCUGGAUGUCUGAGUGCCUCUUGCAGGAGGGGGAACCUGGGAAAGUGGAAGGUCUUGGGGACACCCGUGAGAGUUACUCACCAGGCUGUAGGGAACAGAGCUGGCAGAGGGGAGCCCAGAACUCUCAGGGUAGAGAGAAGUGAGAGAUUGAGCAGUAGCAACAAUGCUAAGCCUCAGGCCUGAGGCUGAGGCAAGACUGGCAAUGGAAAACCAGAGCUCAGGUUCGAGGGUAGGGAAGUGGGGUGCGAUGGAGGUAGGCAUGGGCGGCUCAAGGAGGCUGUGCCUUUUUGGAACUGAGAGCAGGUGGGGUGGUGAGAAGGCACCAAGCUUAAAGGUGGGGAUGGGGGACAAAGCCUUUUAGCUGUCCAUAACGUUCUUCCUCGUCGCAAACCUCAGGGUGAGCGAUGGAUCCACAACCUUGUCUUGGUCUGAGGGGACCAUCGGUGGCGACAGGCUACCUACUCGGGGUGCUGGAGGAGAUGUGGGGUGUCAGGCCUGCUGCCUCCCUUCUCCCUGGGCUCCUGGCGGCUUGUUUUUCUCAUUUCCUGAGAUAGCUGGAGGGAGAUGCUCGUUCAGCACCGGGCGCUCUCUCAUCGCCUCUGCCUUUUCUCUUCGGCCUUCGCAGAGUCUCACUUGGGGCAGUUUCUGGGGUCUGGUGACCUGGCUCAGCAGCCGGUGCAAGACUGCAGUGGAGAGCAUGUAUUCCCAGGAGACUGGGCGUGGAUACGACAUAUUCUGCCCUCAUGGUUUUUGGUUUUUAAUAUUCUUUUAAAAUUAUAAAAUUCAUAAUAAUGUUCAUAAAAAAUGACAGUCCCGAGGUAGAUGAAGUUAAUGGGUUGGGCCCGUUUCUGGCCUGCCUCUCCCCGCAACUCCCAACUCCCCAAAGGCAGCCACUGUCCUCCCUGGUUGUGUGUCCUUCCCAUCCACUCAGCUCUUGGGGGUGGUUUUUGUUAACUGUUUGCUGAGCCUUGUGGCAGACCAGAAUACACUCCAGGAGUCUGAUGUGCUCCUUAUAAUUCCGGAGCCUUGGUCUCUGCGAGACUCACAUCCAGACCCUCAAUGGCAGGGGCCUGGAGCUAAGAGCUAGGGUGACCCCAGAUGCUGCUGCCUUCCACUCAGUUCUGGCCCCUGGGGGCUCACCAGGCUGCGGAUCCUGUUACUCAAGUGCCCCCCACACUCAGCUUGUCUCUGGAGGUCCGGAGUGGGGUCCAGCCACUCUCAGCUCGGGGGUCUUGGUCAGCUCUCAGCUUCCCCCUGUGCUGUGCCUUCAUGUGAUACGAAGGUGGACACUUCCCCUCUCUCCCUUCCCUAUCCCCCCGCGCACUUGGCCAUGUGGCUUCUGCAUGUUCCGCUGGCCUGGCAGGUCAGGAACGCAGAAAGACGGCUUCGCCGGCCCAGGCUCUUAUUUAUUCAGGCGAGAGAAAGUAUGCGAAAGGUCCUUGAUGCCUGUGCAGCAUGUGCCACAGGGAGGUGGUCUGCUCUGACAAGGUUCACAUAGCUUUCCAUAGCGUCACUGUGAGCUCCUCAGAGCUGAACAGCAGGGGUCUAAGUUCUGAGGACCGGAACACUUGGCCAAGGGCGAGUAGAGUCCUGGGGCAGCCAGGCAGCUCAUCCAAGCUGGGGUCCCUUCCCAGAGGUCCCGCCAAAAGUACCGACCCCGUGAUCGCCUGGCCUCGCUGCAGGUAGGAGGUGUCCCCACCAGUGGCCCUCUGGGCUGAGGGACAUGUCUGUCCAGUGACUGAAGGUAACCAUUUGCCCAGGACUUUUAAAGAGGAGAGAAAAAUAUUUUUCAUUGUUUUGGAGCCAUUUCUCAUUUGCAGAACUACUGACAUUUGGGGAGGGAUAACUGUCUGCUGUGGGACUGUCCUGUGCUCUGAGAUGGUCAGCAGCAUCCCUGGCCUGGACCCACUGGAUGCCAGUAGCAUCCCCCACCCCAUGUUGUGACAACCAAAAAUGCCUCUGGACGUUCCAAAUGUCCCCCACUGGACAGAAUUGUCCCCAUCGAGAACGACUAGAUUUGAGGAUUCAGAACUGGGCUUUCUGUGACCCCUGCUUUGGCAUCGUAAGCUGCCUCUUGCUCGGGUGCAGUUUUCUUUGUUCCUUUUCCAAAAGGCUGACCUCAUCGGGCUCAUUUGUUUGUUUCGUUGACUCACCCAGCUCUAACCACAAGCAGCCUUCCUACUUUGGGGGAUCCCAAGUGACUUAUCAUGGGACUUUGUAUGUAAAUUUAAAAGAUUCUUGUCUACUAAAUUGGAGGCAGAAACCCUCAACUUCUUUUUUAGCUCCAGUUAGUAAAUAACUUCCCAAAAGUGUUUAAGGGCAUGCCAAGCUGCCACUGGCGAUUUUAUUGUGAGCACCUUUGCAGUUCAAUUUUCUGAAAUCCCUGAGCAUUUCUCUCCCCUUAGUUUGGGUCUUGGCCCAGUGACUAGCAGAUGAUCUAAAGGCCAGGGCUUUCUGAAGUUGGCUAGUGCUUGGGGGAUUUUUCUUAAGGCCUCUGACGCGGGACUGGCGGGGGGAGGAAGGGAAAGGACCGGGCUGCCUGAGGGAGAGGAGGGGAGAAGCCAGGUCCCAGGAUGGACCAACCAAGGGUCACACCCCACUGCUGUGCAUCAGGCCCCUUGAGCAAGACCCAGCCUGUUUGCUGGCCCCUCUUGAGGCCACAGAGUGAGCCGCUGGCUUUGAGAUGGGGCUUCACAAAGCACAGUGUUGCUCUGAGGACUGACACAACCCUGAGGUCGGAGGCCACGCCUAGUGACAGCAGCCUUCUCCCUCCCGCCUUUGGUGAGUGGGGCUGUAACCCCAGGGGGAGGAGGCUGGGUUCUGUCUGAAUUCCGUCUCUGGUCCUCUCUUGGCUCCUUUCCCGCCUCACUGUCUCCUUAGGGAAAUGGGUUCUGGUUUCCCAGUAGGGGCUUCAGAUCUUAGCAUCCACCUUGUACUUGAAAACCUAGUUAUCAAAAGAUCAUUGUGCCCACAGCUCUCCUCUCAGGCAUUGCUGUUUCCAUUCUUCACUGGCCCCCAGAGGCUCGGCUUAAUUGGCUGCCUCCGAAGCAUGCGAUUGAACUUGAGCAGUGGUUGGGAUGCCCGGGCCCGCCCCUCCCCACGCAGCACCUGUGACCUUAUAUUCAGAUGGCGGUGAGCUCCCAUGCACACUGUCACCUUGCACUUGAUGGGCAUCAGGGACCAGGAAGUGAAAAGGCGGAGAAGCUAGAUCUGGCUGCCAAGGGCUCUGAGUCCUGAAUGGCAGGAAAAUAAGCAGUGAUGCUGCUGGACCCGAUGCCACUGGCCCCACCACCUGCCCACCAGCACCUGGUUAAUACAUCGAGCCAAGCCCUCUUAUAGACCGGACUGUACCGCGGGUGCUCAGAGAUCCUAUUGAAGGGCUGAGACAGAGGGAUGGGUGGGCCUAUGCAUGCUUAGAGCAGAGUCUCGCGGCGUCUGGGACUUGCCCUUUGCUCCCUCGGGCUGUGCUCGCUGCCUUUACCUGCGCUGGGCCUGGCAGAGCUCGGAGUCUUCCGGAUUCCAGGGUCUGCGGUAGCCAGUCUGUCAACUGCUGGAGUAAGCUGCUUUCCCAAAAUAGCCAUCCAGAGGGAAGGAGCAGCCCUGGAAUUCGACCCUGGUGAUCACCGUGAUGGCCUUGCCCAGGCUCCUGGUCCCACCUGGCCCCACCUCCCUGACCAUCUCCAAGGAGCUAUUGGUGGAUGUGGGGGCCAGGGUUUUUCCUCUCUCUCUCUCUCUCCUUCCUUCCUCUUCCCUUUGUUCUUUCUUUCCACCAGCUUUAGGUUUACAAUCCAAGUGACUCAGGAGAGAUGUUCCAGUGCCUGACUGGCUGGGGAGGGGCAGGUCACGGUGGGAGCAGGGAGGGGAGGGGCCCUGUGUGCCAGCACCUCUCUGCAGGUGACUGCACAUCCAUGGAGGGGCCGAGGCGCUGGCUGUGAGUCGGGCCACUGGCAGCGGUGCCAGACCUGGAGGUGGCAGCAGGCUUGACAGGUCCGACAGGUGGAGCCAGCCCUGCGGCUGCGAGGCCACAGUUGAAGGUCUCAUCCCGGGUCCUCCCUCAGCCCACAAAGCAGGUAACCCACUUUUCAUUUUUUCUGCUGGUUUAGUCUGUGGUCAACUUCAGGGAACACUUACCACUUGAGGAGAAGGCUUUUGGGAUUAGCGAGGAAAGUCGUGGAUUUGUUGAGAGAGUUUUGUGUACAAAAUCUGACCUUGGCGUUAGAGAAACAUUUCUAAGUGUCUGGUCCUUUGGUCUGAAAAGUAAGUUUCUUACGGAGCCUGGAUGCUUAAUGGCAAAUGUAAGACAAGGUCCAGAAACGGCGAGAUUGUUUUUGUAACUGCAAAUGGCACACCGUGGAAGGCUUGGCUGUGGUUAGGUGGACUGUUACGUUUCCAUAAGGAGGGGGUGGGGGGUGCCGCCUCCGCUCAGCACCAGGGCUCGGCUGUAUCGGGGCAGCUCCCUCAAGCCCUACUCGGAGAAGCACGGGCAGUGCUGGGCUUCCUCCAAAACUCAAAUUUAUAUUACAGCCCCUUGGGCUGGAUUGUAUUUUGAAAUUGUUUGAAGUUUUGAAAUCACCUCUCCUGUUAAGACUGGACUUCUGAACACCAGGCUCCAGCAUCUUCAUUCGCGCUGUGUUUAGCCAGUGAAUGUGCCCUUAGCCCUCCUUUUGGGGGAUUUCUGGCCUGAGGACAGGACGGGAAGGAGCCCAGGUCUGAAGAGCCAAGCCAGGACUCCCCGCCUGAAGCAAGCACUGGUUUUGUCUUAUUUGAUGUUGUUGAGGAUGUGUUCACUGUCUUCCUCUCGACAGUCCAGUCGUGUUCUCUCCUACCUGCUGCCGCUGUGGGGUGUCCGCCGGAUGCUCACUGGGAAGAGGGCCCCCCCUGGGAGUGGGAGGCUGAGAGCAGACAGCACAGCUGUCUAAAGCUGCCCUUGCACCUUAUACUUUGUGGGGAGAGGACUGGGAAGCUGUUUCUGCUGUGGCUGAACGUUUUGUGACAGAAACGUUGUUUUUCUUAAGUGGUUUGCUUUUUUUUUUUUUUUAAAUUCCAAGGUAAUUUCUCUUGCUCAAAUUGCUUAAAUUAUAGGAUAUAUCGUUAGGAUUCCUUCCUCUGCAAGUAAGAGAAAACCCCACUCGAAACGAUAUAAGUAAUCAGAACGUUAAAAAUGUUAUAAAACGUAAGCCCAGAGAUCGGGCACCUGUGAUGGGGAAUAUCCAGCGGCCCAGCCAUGCCAAGGAGUAAGCUCUCCGCAUUUCCGCUCUGCCAUCCUCCACCUACUGACUUCAUCUCCCGCCAGCUCCCGUCCGGCUCUUCCUGGGGGUCUCUUGUGAGUGAGGAAACCUUUCCCAAAGCCCCUGCUCACUUUCCUACAAAUCUCAUUGGCCAGAAUUAUGCCUUGUGCCCAGCCCCAGCCAAUCAGAGGCACCAGAAGGGUGUGGGGAUGGAAUUCAUGAGGCACAUAACUAGGGAGAGGGGAGUGGAUCACCCGAACCAAAUCGGGGCCUCCGAGCUGGAGAAGACGGGGUGUGAAUUUGGGGCAGGCAACCAACAGUAUCUGCUACAGUGGAAAAUUUAAAUUUAUUCAGAUUUCUAACUGACUUGGGGUAAGACAGUAACUCUUACUCCUAAAAUACGUGUACUUUAUACUCAAUUCUUUUUCUCUUUUUUUAAAGAUUGGCACCUGAGCUAACAUCUGUUGCCAGUCUU